Molecule: long non-coding RNA, 1280 nt
Filed under: Rhinopithecus bieti (black snub-nosed monkey)
Lineage: Eukaryota; Metazoa; Chordata; Mammalia; Primates; Cercopithecidae
Description: lncRNA (ENSRBIG00000046742.1)
Source: RNAcentral
AAGAGUGCAGGGGGAGAGGGAACAGUUAUUUCUCAAGCCAUUAAUACAGUUCUUACACGACUCUGCCUCCUGGCCCACAGUGAUAGACCCACAGUUGGGAGUGGACCACACAGUGGGCCAGCUGUAGAGCCUGAGACUGGGUAAGAGAUGGACAUCUGACCCAAGUAGGGACAGUGCAGUGCGUGCUUGGAAUUGAUGACCUAGGGACCAGAGAGCAGUGCUCAUUGUCUCUUUGUGGCGGGGUUAGCAGCUCUGAAGUCAUUGGGAUGGCAUUUCCCGCCAGGUGGAAGAAGCUGACCUGUAGUUGAAGAACUGAUACCCACACCCAGAGCUGCAGAGAGAGGGUGCAUAACAGCAGCAUGCCAGAUCCAUUUCCAGCUCUUCUGAGGUGCAGCCACACCUUGACCUUCCUGCAGUCCUCUUAGCCUUCCAAAUACAUUUACCUUUGAGUGUAAAUGAAUUUAAGGGAGCUAAUGAACCAUGACAAGAACAAAAGGCCGGCAGCCAAGAGGAGGGGGAAACAGGAGCUGGCAGACCUGACCGGACCGCGGCUCCUAAGCUGUUUGUUUCCCUUCUCAAAGGCGCAAUUCAUUGACAGUGAUGACAACAGAGCUGGCCACCUUGCUGAGUACGCUGGAUGGCACACAGUGACAACAAAUGACACAGAAGCCUCUAUUCUCAAGGACUCGAGGAGUUAAAUAUCUGAUGGAGAAGACAGGACCCAGGCACAAACAGCACAAUCUGUAGGAACAAAUACAAGAAUCACAUACUCCACAGCCCCGUGAAUGAUGGACAUAGAUAGCAAAGGGCUCCCCAGCAGCCCUGGCAGGCACGUAGACAGCCACAGCUAUGCGGGCCCUUAGGUCAGCUCUCUCAGAUGAUCUGAAACCACUUCAGUCUGUCUGAAGCUCUCAUGAACAUUUCCGGUUAAAUAUUGUUUUCAAUAAUUUAUUCUGGAGGAGAUGUUCGUUCCCCUGGGAAUCACUUUGCAGCACAUCCCCUCCAGGGACCAGCUACAGACAUCAGGCGCCAGGAUAGAAGAAUCACUCUGUGUAGACGGUGGACCAGGAAUAAGGUUGCCUCCAAAAAAUAAUAGCUGACAUCCACCCCACCCUCCGCUCUUCAGUCAAGCCAGUCAGGCAAUGAACCUUUUCACACCUGAGGGAUGAUUUGUGCUUUUGUCUGAUUCUGCUGUAUUAAAGGAAACAAGUGUUGAGAAAGGUAAGUUGUAAAAGAAAACUGCGGCCUUUCCCUGAUUCACUGGGAACAGACAUAGAGGA